Molecule: ribosomal RNA, 501 nt
Filed under: uncultured bacterium
Lineage: Bacteria
Description: bacterial SSU rRNA
Rfam family: Bacterial small subunit ribosomal RNA
Source: RNAcentral
UGGCGGCGUGCCUAACACAUGCAAGUCGAACGAGAAAGUGGAGCAAUCCAUGAGUAAAGUGGCGCACGGGUGAGUAACACGUGACUAACCUACCCUUGAGUGGGGGAUAACCUAGAGAAAUCUGGGCUAAUACCGCAUAAUACCUACGGGUCAAAGGAGCAAUUCGCUUAAGGAGGGGGUCGCGGUCGAUUAGUUAGUUGGCGGGGUAAUGGCCCACCAAGACGAUGAUCGAUAUCCGGCCUGAGAGGGCGCACGGACACACUGGAACUGAAACACGGUCCAGACUCCUACGGGAGGCAGCAGUGGGGAAUUUUGCGCAAUGGGGGAAACCCUGACGCAGCAACGCCGCGUGGAGGAUGAAGUACUUCGGUACGUAAACUCCUUUCGAUCGGGACGAUUAUGACGGUACCGAGAGAAGAAGCCCCGGCUAACUUCGUGCCAGCAGCCGCGGUAAUACGAGGGGGGCGAGCGUUGUUCGGAAUUAUUGGGCGUAUAGGGUGC